GAUGAACGCUAGCUACAGGCUUAACACAUGCAAGUCGAGGGGAAACGACAUCGAAAGCUUGCUUUCGAUGGGCGUCGACCGGCGCACGGGUGAGUAACGCGUAUCCAACCUGCCCAUCACUUGGGGAUAACCUUGCGAAAGUAAGACUAAUACCCAAUGACGUCUCUAGAAGACAUCUGAAGGAGAUUAAAGAUUUAUCGGUGAUGGAUGGGGAUGCGUCUGAUUAGCUUGUUGGCGGGGUAACGGCCCACCAAGGCGACGAUCAGUAGGGGUUCUGAGAGGAAGGUCCCCCACAUUGGAACUGAGACACGGUCCAAACUCCUACGGGAGGCAGCAGUGAGGAAUAUUGGUCAAUGGGCGAGAGCCUGAACCAGCCAAGUAGCGUGCAGGAUGACGGCCCUAUGGGUUGUAAACUGCUUUUAUAAGGGAAUAAAGUGAGCCUCGUGAGGCUUUUUGCAUGUACCUUAUGAAUAAGGACCGGCUAAUUCCGUGCCAGCAGCCGCGGUAAUACGGAAGGUCCGGGCGUUAUCCGGAUUUAUUGGGUUUAAAGGGAGCGUAGGCCGGAGAUUAAGCGUGUUGUGAAAUGUAGACGCUCAACGUCUGCACUGCAGCGCGAACUGGUUUCCUUGAGUACGCACAAAGUGGGCGGAAUUCGUGGUGUAGCGGUGAAAUGCUUAGAUAUCACGAAGAACUCCGAUUGCGAAGGCAGCUCACUGGAGCGCAACUGACGCUGAAGCUCGAAAGUGCGGGUAUCGAACAGGAUUAGAUACCCUGGUAGUCCGCACGGUAAACGAUGGAUGCCCGCUGUUGGUCUGAAUAGGUCAGCGGCCAAGCGAAAGCAUUAAGCAUCCCACCUGGGGAGUACGCCGGCAACGGUGAAACUCAAAGGAAUUGACG
This 897-nucleotide ribosomal RNA is filed under the name uncultured bacterium. RNAcentral describes it as "bacterial SSU rRNA". It matches the Rfam family "Bacterial small subunit ribosomal RNA", at positions 28 to 915 of the family's 1533-position model. The record is from RNAcentral.